GCAGCAAGGAAGCCAGGCGUAAGUUGGGAGCGACUGAGCCACUCCAGGAGGAGGUGUGGGCCCACGGCGUGUUGGAGGUGGAGCCACAGGACCUGUCCAUAGGUUGGAUGCUGUGUGGGUGACAGAGAGAAACCGGGGCUCACGGCCUGGGCAGCGGGACGGGCGGAGUCGUCCUCACCUGUGCUGGGGACCCUGUGGGAGCAGCAGGCUUCCGAGCACGUGCUGGACCCCGGCGUCUCCGGCUGCACCGAGUGGUCAGGACAUUGAGGCCGGGUCAGGGAGCGUGAGAUACCGGGACGAGCGGGCCCAGGGCUGAGCCCAGCGGCGUCCGGGUGGGCGGUGGCGUUGAGAUGGGAAUUGGGAAUUGCACCGGUGGUCUCAGGAGGAUGGAAAACCCAAGCAGCAGCUGCACCAGGACCGAGGCAAAGGGACCGCAGUUUAACAGAAAACCCAAAACGAGAGCGAGAAAACGGCCAAACACCCGUGCGAGGAGGAAACCCAAGCUCCGCCGAGCGCGGCGGGUCUGUGCCUUCGCUUCGCUUCCAGCCUCUCGCUUCCUUCUGACCCGACCCCGAGUUCUUUCUCCGGACGGUGUCG
This 597-nucleotide long non-coding RNA is filed under the name Homo sapiens (human). Its description in RNAcentral is "non-protein coding lnc-PGGHG-1:4". Lineage: Eukaryota; Metazoa; Chordata; Mammalia; Primates; Hominidae. The record is from RNAcentral.